This 554-nucleotide ribosomal RNA is filed under the name uncultured bacterium. RNAcentral's name for it is "partial 16S ribosomal RNA". It matches the Rfam family "Bacterial small subunit ribosomal RNA", at positions 355 to 900 of the family's 1533-position model. The record is from RNAcentral.
UAGGGAAUCUUCGGCAAUGGACGAAAGUCUGACCGAGCAACGCCGCGUGAGUGAAGAAGGUUUUCGGAUCGUAAAACUCUGUUGGUAGAGAAGAACGUUGGUGAGAGUGGAAAGCUCAUCAAGUGACGGUAACUACCCAGAAAGGGACGGCUAACUACGUGCCAGCAGCCGCGGUAAUACGUAGGUCCCGAGCGUUGUCCGGAUUUAUUGGGCGUAAAGCGAGCGCAGGUGGUUUAUUAAGUCUGGUGUAAAAGGCAGUGGCUCAACCAUUGUAUGCAUUGGAAACUGGUAGACUUGAGUGCAGGAGAGGAGAGUGGAAUUCCAUGUGUAGCGGUGAAAUGCGUAGAUAUAUGGAGGAACACCGGUGGCGAAAGCGGCUCUCUGGCCUGUAACUGACACUGAGGCUCGAAAGCGUGGGGAGCAAACAGGAUUAGAUACCCUGGUAGUCCACGCCGUAAACGAUGAGUGCUAGAUGUAGGGGAGCUAUAAGUUCUCUGUAUCGCAGCUAACGCAAUAAGCACUCCGCCUGGGGAGUACGACCGCAAGGUUGAAAC